Non-coding RNA from Paramuricea clavata, 311 nucleotides. NCBI's taxonomy places the organism in Eukaryota, Metazoa, Cnidaria, Anthozoa, Malacalcyonacea, Plexauridae. The record is from the annotation of a GenBank genome assembly.
ACCUUGCCGCUUGACAGUAUUGCAAGUGCAGAUUUCUGGUGUCGUAUUCAGACAACUCGAUGUCUCGUCUUGAUUCACCGCAGGCAGAUUUCACUUGAAUGUUCUCGUACCGGCAACAACUACAUGUAUAUGAACCAAGUCAAAUAUCCUGCAAAGUAAUGUGUGAACAAACAUGCUAGUUAAAUAUUGUGGGAAGACAAAAGGGGAUUGGAUUUCUAAAGAAAACUAACGCACCAAUUGCAUAUAAUGACAUAAUUAACAAGUGCAAAUUGAACUGUGGUGACAUGGAACACGGAGUAGGAAUUCCGGAG